AAAUAUUAUUUUUUCAAUUUCAAAAGGGCAAAAGAUCUCUCUCCUCGUUAAAAUCUCUGUGGGGUACAUUAGUUUAGGGUUUCUGGCUGCAAUACUAUGUACCGACGAAUAUCGAUCCGGAUUAGGUGUUGUUUCUCAUCUUCUCACCCUACUUUGGACAGUGUUUUUGUAUUCAAACUAUCUUCUCAACAGAAGAAUUCCAGUUUCCCCUUUAUCUUAGGUAUUGUUUUGCACCUUCUCGCCCUCCUCGUUCCAGAUUGAAGAAAUUUAUAUAGUUAGAGAAACAUGAAUUCUUCCAAUCUCAGUUUGGUGCUCUUCUAUUUCAAUAUUUUACCAUCUUACGGUCUCUGAUUGUUGUAGUUGCCUAUCUAAUUUGAUACUUAUUCCAGAAAAAAAUGAACUAUAAAUUAAUUAUUCCUCUUCUAGUUUCCAAGAUUAGUAAUUUAUUUUAAAAUCCUUGCAGAUUUGUGAGCCUAAUUCUACAAAUCGGCUUUCUUCAACAAUAUUACUGUUCAAAAACAGAAGUGUUUAAUGUAACCAAAGGUUGUUUAACCAUAUUCGUGUUCAGUAUCAUUUCCUUCUGGGCCUCCUUAUAAUUUGUUCAACGUGGGUUUUCGAAAAAUGUAUUGUAGGAGUAGUAAAGUUGUGUGCUUGCUUGCCAAGAUACUCCUCCAUCAUAUUUUUCUUUGAGGCAAUUGAUUGGAUACCCAAAUCCUUAGCUAAAUUACCAUUGUCCUGCGCUUCUUUGCUUCUUUUAAGGCAUGGUACUACCUCCUUGGAUAAAUGAAGUGUAGGCGUGAGAACAAUGUCAUUUGAAGUACCUAAACAAAGAUCAGCAGUCUUGGCAAUUUUUUGCUCUUUUACACUGUCCGGAGAUCUGGUUUGUCGAUCUUUUAAACCUAUGUCACUCUGCGCCAAUUGCAAUAUAUUCCUAGAAUCCUUCUCACCUUGCUCAUGUACACUAAGCAAAGCAUCACAAGAGUUAGAACACUUGAAGUUUCCUGUGUAGAAUCUAAUCUAGUUGCAUUCAGUUAGUUUGUUUCAUUCCAUAGUUAGUUAUACCACUCACACGUGGCCUGAGUCGUGCUUUGUUCACGGCAAGGUUGUUUCCUAUUUUUCUUGGUCGUGCAUUGAGCACGUAGGUAACAUGGGAAAGGGUCCUGUUAUUUGUUU
RNAcentral lists this long non-coding RNA (1173 nucleotides) under Nicotiana benthamiana. Its description in RNAcentral is "long non-coding RNA (NBEN_LNC037993)". The record is from RNAcentral. Lineage: Eukaryota; Viridiplantae; Streptophyta; Magnoliopsida; Solanales; Solanaceae.